RNAcentral lists this ribosomal RNA (910 nucleotides) under uncultured bacterium. RNAcentral's name for it is "bacterial SSU rRNA". It matches the Rfam family "Bacterial small subunit ribosomal RNA", at positions 33 to 934 of the family's 1533-position model. The record is from RNAcentral.
ACGCUAGCUACAGGCUUAACACAUGCAAGUCGAGGGGAAACGGCAUUGAGUGCUUGCACUCUUUGGACGUCGACCGGCGCACGGGUGAGUAACGCGUAUCCAACCUUCCCAUUACUGUGGGAUAACCUGCCGAAAGGCAGACUAAUACCGCAUAGUCUUCGAUGACGGCAUCAGAUUUGAGGUAAAGAUUUAUCGGUAAUGGAUGGGGAUGCGUCUGAUUAGCUUGUUGGCGGGGUAACGGCCCACCAAGGCGACGAUCAGUAGGGGUUCUGAGAGGAAGGUCCCCCACAUUGGAACUGAGACACGGUCCAAACUCCUACGGGAGGCAGCAGUGAGGAAUAUUGGUCAAUGGACGGAAGUCUGAACCAGCCAAGUAGCGUGCAGGAAGACGGCCCUAUGGGUUGUAAACUGCUUUUGUAUGGGGAUAAAGUUAGGGACGUGUCCCUAUUUGCAGGUACCAUACGAAUAAGGACCGGCUAAUUCCGUGCCAGCAGCCGCGGUAAUACGGAAGGUCCAGGCGUUAUCCGGAUUUAUUGGGUUUGAAGGGAGCGUAGGCUGGAGAUUAAGUGUGUUGUGAAAUGUAGACGCUCAACGUCUGAAUUGCAGCGCAUACUGGUUUCCUUGAGUACGCACAACGUUGGCGGAAUUCGUCGUGUAGCGGUGAAAUGCUUAGAUAUGACGAAGAACUCCGAUUGCGAAGGCAGCUGACGGGAGCGCAACUGACGCUUAAGCUCGAAGGUGCGGGUAUCAAACAGGAUUAGAUACCCUGGUAGUCCGCACAGUAAACGAUGGAUGCCCGCUGUUGGUACCUGGUAUCAGCGGCUAAGCGAAAGCAUUAAGCAUCCCACCUGGGGAGUACGCCGGCAACGGUGAAACUCAAAGGAAUUGACGGGGGCCCGCACAAGCGGAG